CACGCUGUAAACUAUGAUCACUCGUUGUUGGAUGGCAACAUUCAGUGGCUAAGGGAAACCAUUAAGUGAUCCACCUGGGGAGUACGAUCGCAAGGUUGAAACUCAAAGGAAUUGACGGGGGCCCGCACAAGCGGAGGAGCAUGUGGUUUAAUUCGAUGAUACGCGAGGAACCUUACCCGGGCUUGAACGUGAGACGAAUAUAUAGGAAACUAUAUCGCCUUCGGGCGUCUUGCGAGGUGC
RNAcentral lists this ribosomal RNA (240 nucleotides) under uncultured Bacteroidota bacterium. RNAcentral's name for it is "uncultured Bacteroidetes bacterium partial 16S ribosomal RNA". It matches the Rfam family "Bacterial small subunit ribosomal RNA", at positions 796 to 1041 of the family's 1533-position model. Lineage: Bacteria; Pseudomonadati; Bacteroidota. The record is from RNAcentral.